Molecule: ribosomal RNA, 460 nt
Filed under: uncultured bacterium
Lineage: Bacteria
Description: partial 16S ribosomal RNA
Rfam family: Bacterial small subunit ribosomal RNA
Source: RNAcentral
CCUACGGGGGGCAGCAGUGAGGAAUAUUGGUCAAUGGGCGCGAGCCUGAACCAGCCAAGUAGCGUGAAGGAUGACUGCCCUACGGGUUGUAAACUUCUUUUAUAAAGGAAUAAAGUGAGGCACGUGUGCCUUUUUGUAUGUACUUUAUGAAUAAGGAUCGGCUAACUCCGUGCCAGCAGCCGCGGUAAUACGGAGGAUCCGAGCGUUAUCCGGAUUUAUUGGGUUUAAAGGGAGCGUAGAUGGGUUGUUAAGUCAGUUGUGAAAGUUUGCGGCUGAACCGUAAAAUUGCAAUUGAUACUGGCAGUCGUGAGUACAGUUGAGGUAGGCGGAAUUCGUGGUGUAGCAGUGAAAUGCUUAGAUAUCGAGAAGAACUCCGAUUGCGAAGGCAGGUUACUAAACUGCCACUGACAUUGAUGCUCGAAAGUGUGGGGAUCGAACGGGAGUAGAUACCCUUGUAGUC